This 496-nucleotide ribosomal RNA is filed under the name Cyclaneusma minus. Its description in RNAcentral is "eukaryotic LSU rRNA". The stretch from base 179 to 332 matches the Rfam family "5.8S ribosomal RNA". The record is from RNAcentral. Lineage: Eukaryota; Fungi; Ascomycota; Leotiomycetes; Marthamycetales; Marthamycetaceae.
GAUCAUUAAUAAAAGUACUGCGGCCUCCGGGCUGCGGAACUCCAACCCUUUGUUUACUAUACCUCGUUGCUUCGGCAGGCCGGGCCUUAUGGUCCGCCGGCUCCCUGAGCUGGCGAGCGCCUGUCAGAGGACCUACAAAAUCUGUGUUAGUGUUGUCUGAGUAUCAUUUAAUAAUUAAAACUUUCAACAACGGAUCUCUUGGUUCUGGCAUCGAUGAAGAACGCAGCGAAAUGCGAUAAGUAAUGUGAAUUGCAGAAUUCAGUGAAUCAUCGAAUCUUUGAACGCACAUUGCGCCCUCUGGUAUUCCGGAGGGCAUGCCUGUUCGAGCGUCAUAAGACCACUCAAGCCCAGCUUGGUGUUGGGACGCGCCCCGGCGCUCCUCAAAAUCAGUGGCGGCUCAGCUCAGCUUCAUGCGUAGUAAAAUGUCUCGCUAUGGACGCUGGGCUGGCGCCUGCCAGAAGCCUAAUUUUUACAGGUUGACCUCGGAUCAGGUAGG